UCCCUGGUAGUCCAGUGGCAAAGGGUCCUUGCUUCCAAUGCAGGAGGCCCUGGUUCAAUUCCUAGUCAGGGAA
RNAcentral lists this transfer RNA (73 nucleotides) under Ovis aries (sheep). It matches the Rfam family "tRNA". Rfam says of the family: Transfer RNA (tRNA) molecules are approximately 80 nucleotides in length. Their secondary structure includes four short double-helical elements and three loops (D, anti-codon, and T loops). The record is from Rfam by way of RNAcentral. Lineage: Eukaryota; Metazoa; Chordata; Mammalia; Artiodactyla; Bovidae.